AUUGAACGCUGGCGGCAGGCUUAACACAUGCAAGUCGAGGGGUAUAGUUCUUCGGAACUAGAGACCGGCGCACGGGUGCGUAACGCGUAUGCAAUCUACCUUUUGCAGAGGGAUAGCCCAGAGAAAUUUGGAUUAAUACCUCAUAGUAUGUGAGAAUGGCAUCAUUUUCACAUUAAAGUCACAACGGCAAAAGAUGAGCAUGCGUCCCAUUAGCUAGUUGGUAAGGUAACGGCUUACCAAGGCAACGAUGGGUAGGGGUCCUGAGAGGGAGAUCCCCCACACUGGUACUGAGACACGGACCAGACUCCUACGGGAGGCAGCAGUGAGGAAUAUUGGACAAUGGGCGCAAGCCUGAUCCAGCCAUGCCGCGUGCAGGAUGACGGUCCUAUGGAUUGUAAACUGCUUUUAAGUCAGGAAGAAACACUGGUUCGUGAACCAGCUUGACGGUACUGUAAGAAUAAGGAUCGGCUAACUCCGUGCC
This 481-nucleotide ribosomal RNA is filed under the name uncultured bacterium. RNAcentral's name for it is "bacterial SSU rRNA". It matches the Rfam family "Bacterial small subunit ribosomal RNA", at positions 30 to 509 of the family's 1533-position model. The record is from RNAcentral.